Molecule: ribosomal RNA, 497 nt
Filed under: uncultured bacterium
Lineage: Bacteria
Description: partial 16S ribosomal RNA
Rfam family: Bacterial small subunit ribosomal RNA
Source: RNAcentral
GAUGAACGCUGGCGGCGUGCCUAAUACAUGCAAGUCGAGCGAACAGAUGAGGAGCUUGCUCCUCUGACGUUAGCGGCGGACGGGUGAGUAACACGUGGAUAACCUACCUAUAAGACUGGGAUAACUUCGGGAAACCGGAGCUAAUACCGGAUAAUAUAUUGAACCGCAUGGUUCAAUAGUGAAAGACGGUUUUGCUGUCACUUAUAGAUGGAUCCGCGCCGCAUUAGCUAGUUGGUAAGGUAACGGCUUACCAAGGCAACGAUGCGUAGCCGACCUGAGAGGGUGAUCAGCCACACUGGAACUGAGACACGGCCCAGACUCCUACGGGAGGCAGCAGUGGGGAAUUUUCGGCAAUGGGCGAAAGCCUGACGGAGCAACGCCGCGUGAGUGAUGAAGGUCUUCGGGUCGUAAAACGCUGUUAUUAGGGAAGAAAAAAUGUGUAAGUAACUAUGCACGUCUUGACGGUACCUAAACAAAAAGCCACGGCUAACUACGUG